GACGUAGGGCGCGAGCGUUGUCCGGAUUUAUUGGGCGUAAAGAGCUCGUAGGCGGCUUGUCGCGUCGUCCGUGAAAACUUGGGGCUCAACCCCAAGCUUGCGGUGGAUACGGGCGGGCUAGAGUUCGGUAGGGGAGACUGGAAUUCCUGGUGUAGCGGUGAAAUGCGCAGAUAUCAGGAGGAACACCGGUGGCGAAGGCGGGUCUCUGGGCCGAUACUGACGCUGAGGAGCGAAAGCGUGGGGAGCGAACAGG
Molecule: ribosomal RNA, 253 nt
Filed under: uncultured bacterium
Lineage: Bacteria
Description: partial 16S ribosomal RNA
Rfam family: Bacterial small subunit ribosomal RNA
Source: RNAcentral